Lactuca sativa (garden lettuce) is the source of this 1037-nucleotide long non-coding RNA. RefSeq lists it as uncharacterized. The record is from RefSeq and is a predicted model, not a curated record. NCBI's taxonomy places the organism in Eukaryota, Viridiplantae, Streptophyta, Magnoliopsida, Asterales, Asteraceae.
UCUUUCUAAUUCUCUUGGGAACCUACUCUCGAUUCCUUCCUUUCUUCAUCGACUCAACCACCGACUCAACCAGACCGAUCAUAUUCUCACAUUAGCUUCACCGUCUUUUUCUUCCAAUCAAGUUCUUCCAAAAUCUGGACAACGUCUCUUCCGCUAACGAUUUUCCGGUGGGUUCUUCUUCACGAUUCCUUGUCCACGUUGGACCGUGGGUUUAUUUGAUGUUGGGUUUGGGUUUUGGGAUGCUUGUCUUCUUCGAAAUUGUAAUUUGUGCGCUGUGCUUCACCAGCCAUUACUCCAACCUGCUCUUUACGUUUCUAGGGUGGGAUGCAGGUGUCAUGCCUACUAUCACAAACGUCGAUUGGCUUGAAGCAGCUUCCAAGUUGUGAAUUCGCACGGCCGGUGCAAUGAUUAUCCUUACCCUCACUGUAACUUGCCAGCCUCACACUAAAUCAGGUGCUGCAAGAAUCCUAUUCCGUUUAUAGUGGUUUUCUUUUUGCACUUGGUUGCCCUUUGUUUCAGUGCUGAAGAAGGAAGAGGGAGAAAUAAAAGCUAGGGAAGGUAGUGGUGAUAACAGGAAGUUUAAGCAUGGGAGAAAAAUUGGUAGUGGAUCUUUUUGACAGCUUAUGAGUAAUUCUUCAAAGAGGAGUAGAAUACAAACUUUAAAGUAUUUUUCAUCACAAAUAUGAAAAAUACAACAAUCACUUUUUUUUUCAUUGUGUACAAAUUUAUUACAUUUUUGAAACUCAAAAUUAAAUGAUUUAGGUCUUCAUGUUUGUUCUUUUGUAGUACUAGGUAGUCUCGCAGUCGCAGAGGGAGUGAUCACUAAUGUCGUUUAUUUCACAAUACAAGACUACUAGAUAGUCAUAGUUGAUAGACUCAAUUUCUCCUUUGAUCAGCUUUGGAAAAACAUGGUUUUUUUUACUUUGCGGGGUUUCUUCACUAUAUUGUUAAUUUUAGAUUAUUAUUUUAUAUAUACAUUGUUAAUCAUUUAUUGACGAAGUAUACUCCGACCCCGAUAAAGAAAAUUUUUAUUGGUC